This 64-nucleotide non-coding RNA is filed under the name unclassified sequences. Its description in RNAcentral is "DUF3800-II RNA". It matches the Rfam family "DUF3800-II RNA". The record is from Rfam by way of RNAcentral.
GAAAUAAGAAACUCGGGACAAAUCCCAGUGGGAAAGUUCCUCGGAACUACCGAGACUUCUAACC